UCGAGAAUCUUCCGCAAUGGACGAAAGUCUGACGGAGCGACGCCGCGUGCAGGAUGAAGUGCUUCGGCAUGUAAACUGCUUUUAUGAGUGAAGAAGUUUAUUGACAUUAGCUCAUGAAUAAGAGGUUGCUAAACUCGUGCCAGCAGCAGCGGUAAUACGAGUGCCUCAAGCGUUAUCCGGAAUUAUUGGGCGUAAAGGGUGUGUAGGUGGUAUUGUUAGUCUCUUGUUAAAGACCUUGGCUUAACCAAGGCAGCGCAAGGGAUACGGCAAAACUAGAGGAUACAAGAGGUGUACGGAACUCAUAGUGUAGGGGUGAAAUCCGUUGAUAUUAUGGGGAACACCAAAAGCGAAGGCAGUACACUGGUGUACUCCUGACACUGAAACACGAAAGCGUGGGGAGCGAAUGGG
RNAcentral lists this ribosomal RNA (408 nucleotides) under uncultured bacterium. RNAcentral describes it as "bacterial SSU rRNA". It matches the Rfam family "Bacterial small subunit ribosomal RNA", at positions 355 to 776 of the family's 1533-position model. The record is from RNAcentral.